Long non-coding RNA from Glycine soja, 562 nucleotides. RefSeq lists it as uncharacterized. The transcript has 5 exons. The record is from RefSeq and is a predicted model, not a curated record. Lineage: Eukaryota; Viridiplantae; Streptophyta; Magnoliopsida; Fabales; Fabaceae.
AACCAUCGAGUGAUUAACAUGCAUAAUGUUGUUGGCUAGUUUCAGAUCUUGGAAAGAUCAUUCUCCUUCCUAAAUUUGGUGAGCUUCCUCAAUGAUCUGUUGUUGGAGAUACAUUUCCGGUAGGCUGCGCCUUUGAUAAGGCAAAUAUUCAUGACAAGUAAUUCAAGGACAACCCGGAUUCCGAAUACCCUGCUAACAACACUAAAAAGGGGAUCUACGCCGAAGGAUGUGGACUAGAGAACGUAACGAUGUCUUGGGAACAUGAUGAAUACAUGUAUAUGGUUGCUAAGGAAAAUAGCACCACUCUUCCAUCUACUGGAUUGUUCAUUAUCAGAUUUCACUCUAUCUAUUUCCCUGGAAAGGUUAGAUGGUGAACCAUUUGAGGUCAAGGCCAAGGCUUUGAGGAGAUUGGCUUUUAGUAAUAUUCUGGGCAGCGAGCAAUUUACUAAAUGCACUUAUGUAUUCACUUGCAAGAUGCAAUCUUCAAUAGUAAUAAAUUUCAUAUCCAGUCAAAUGAUUAUUUCUUAUGAUUCGCAUUUUUUUUUAUUACGAUGCCCAAAUG